AAGGCAAUGCCUGCCCAGUGAGAACAUCUUUAACGGCCGCGGUACCCUAACCGUGCAAAGGUAGCGUAAUCAUUUGUCUAUUAAUUGUAGACCAGUAUGAAAGGCCACAUGAGAGCCAAACUGUCUCUUGUAAUAAAUCAAUUAAACUGAUCUCCUAGUACAAAAGCUAGGAUAAACCUAUAAGACCAGAAGACCCUGUGAAGCUUAAACUAACCUAUUAAAUCAUAUAAUAGCUACUUUCGGUUGGGGCGACCUUGGAACAAAACAAAACUUCCAAACACAAAUUGGAACUCCCAAUAAAAAUAGGCUAACAAGCCACAGUACGACCCAGUAUAACUGAUUAUUGAACCAAGUUACUCCAGGGAUAACAGCGCUAUCUUCUUCAAGAGCCCAUAUCAAAAAGAAGGUUUACGACCUCGAUGUUGGAUCAGGACACCCAAAUGGUGCAGCCGCUAUUAAAGGUUCGU
RNAcentral lists this ribosomal RNA (467 nucleotides) under Eunectes notaeus (yellow anaconda). RNAcentral's name for it is "partial 16S ribosomal RNA". It matches the Rfam family "Bacterial large subunit ribosomal RNA", at positions 1849 to 2576 of the family's 2925-position model. Lineage: Eukaryota; Metazoa; Chordata; Lepidosauria; Squamata; Boidae. The record is from RNAcentral.